This is an RNA transcript of Phyllostomus discolor (pale spear-nosed bat), 4520 nucleotides long. It is a transcript of the gene named cap methyltransferase 2, with no coding region annotated. Lineage: Eukaryota; Metazoa; Chordata; Mammalia; Chiroptera; Phyllostomidae. The transcript has 3 exons. The record is from RefSeq and is a predicted model, not a curated record.
CAAACGCUGUGGGGCGAAAGGACGGCGCUUCCCAGCUCUAGUUCACCAAGAAGAAGCAAAACGUAGUGAACGGAGUCCAGGGCCAGCCUACGUAACGUUGACGUGCGACGUCCUCCUGGCCUCCAGGCGCGUGCGCAGUGUGUUUGUCAGGGGCCUCCGGCUGCUGUCAGCCGCCGUGGCGGCGCGCUUUGGAGUUGGUUUUUCUGUUCCCGGUGUCUGGAGGGCGGGUCUGGGCCUCCUUCCUGGGUCUGUGGCGCUUCACCUCUCUCCUGCGCGGUGCAGAUCGCCGUAGGCCCUCAGGAGCAGAUGUGGAGAAUGGCCCCCUGGAGUGAGAAGAGCGAGUGAAGCGCCGCCUCUCUAGACUCCCGGGUCUGAGGUGGGCGUGAGCGAAGAUUUUAAUUUAACUUGAAAAUGAGUAAGUGCAGAAAGCCACCACUGGGUUCAAGUUCUGAGACAUUCAGCCCAGAUGUUGUUGCUGCCAUUUUUGAACUCUUUGCCAAGAACUUUUCUUAUGGCAAGCCACUUAAUAAUGAGUGGCAGUUACCAGAUCCCAGUGAGAUGUUCACCUGUGACCACAUGGAAUUUAAUGUAUUUCUUGAUUUGAAGAACUCCCUAAAUGAAGUAAAAAACCAACUGAGUGAUAAGAAACUGGAUGAGUGGCAUGAGCACACUGCUUUCACUAAUAAAGCUGGAAAAAUAAUUUCUCAUGUGAGAAAAUAUGUGAAUGCUGAACUUUGUACUCAAGCAUGGUGUAAGUUUCAUGAAAUUUUGUGCAGCUUUCCAAUUAUUCCACAGGAAGCUUUUCAGAAUAGAAAACUGAAUUCUCUACACCUUUGUGAAGCUCCUGGAGCUUUUAUAGCAAGUCUCAAUCAUUACUUGAAAUCCCAUCCAUUCCCUUGUGAUUGGAACUGGGUGGCUAAUACCCUGAAUCCAUACCAUGAAGCAAAUGACAAUCUGAUGAUGAUCAUGGAUGACCGACUUAUUGCGAAUACCUUGCAUUGUUGGUACUUUGGUCCAGAUAACACUGGUGAUAUCAUGACCUUGAAAUAUCUGACUGGACUUCAGGAUUUCGUAAGCAACAUGGGUACUAUUCAUUUGAUCACUGCUGAUGGGAGUUUUGAUUGCCAAGGAAAUCCUGGUGAACAAGAAGCUUUAGUCUCUUCUUUGCACUACUGUGAAGUAGUCACUGCUCUGAUGACUCUUGGAAAUGGUGGCUCUUUUGUUCUGAAGAUGUUUACGUUAUUUGAACAUUGUUCCAUAAACCUGAUGUACCUGCUAAACUGUUCCUUUGACCAAGUCCAUGUUUUUAAACCUGCUACAAGCAAGGCAGGAAACUCAGAAGUCUAUGUGGUGUGUCUCCACUAUAAGGGGAAAGAGGUAAUCCAUCCUUUGUUAUCUAAGAUGAUGCUGAAUUUUGGGACUGAAAUGACCAGGAAAGCUCUUUUUCCUCACCAUGUGAUUCCUGAAUCUUUUCUUAAAAGACAUGAAGAAUGUUGUGUGUUCUUUCAUAAAUACCAGCUAGAGACUAUUUCCGAGAACAUUCGUUUGUUUGAGUGCAUGGAAAAAGAAGAACAAGCAAGGCUGAAUAAAUUAAGAGACUGUGCUGUUCAACAUUUCAUGGAAAAGUACCAAUUGAAGCCUCUUUCCAGAAAUAAUUGGCUAGUAAAAAAAUCUAAUAUUGGUUGUAGUACAAAUACAAAAUGGUUUGGGCAGAGGAACAGAUAUUUUAAAACCUAUAAUGAAAGGAAAAUGCUAGAAACCCUUUCAUGGAAGGAUAAGGUGGCCCAAGGAUACUUUAAUAGUUGGGCUGAGGAACAUGCUUCAUAUCAUCCUGGGAAAAGCUCUCUUUUAGAAGGGACAGCCUCCAAUCUUGAAUGUCAUUUAUGGCAUAUUUUAGAGGGAAAGAGACUGCCAAAAGUAAAGUGUUCUCCCUUUUGUGAUGGUGAAAUUUUAAAGGCUCUUAAUGAAGCAAUUGAAAAGUCAUUAGGAGGAGCCUUGGAUUCGGAUUUCAAGUUUAGACCAAAACAGCAUUGUUCUUGUCAUGUUUUUUCUGAAGAACUGAUAAUUUCUGAGUUGUUUAGCCUUACCAAGUGCCUUCAAGAUGAACAGUUUGUACAACCCAGCAACCAAAAAAAGUGCCUGCUUGUAGGUUUUCCUGCUCUUUCUGAUAACAAAAUGCAUAUACCAUUGGAAGUUCAACUCCUUGAAUCAGUCGAACUCAUGACUUUUACCUGUUCAUUGCUUCAUGAUGGAGACCCAACUUACCAGCAGUUAUUUUUGGACUGCCUUCUACAUUCAUUACAGCAACUUAAUACAGGCGAUGUUAUGAUUUUGCCUGUACUUUCUUGUUUUACAAGGUUUAUGGCUGGUUUGAUCCUUGUACUCCACAGCUGUUUUAAAUUCAUUACGUUUUCUUGUCCCACAUCAUCUGCACCCCUGAGGACCUGUGCAGUCCUGCUAUGUGUCGGUUACAAGGACCUUCCAAAUGCAGUUUUCCAGUAUCUGCAGAAUGUGAAUGAAAUGUUGAGUGUUUUGCUUAACAGUGAUGCACCCCAGCAAGUGUUACAGUUUGUGCCAAUGGGACUGCUCCUUAAGGGGGCACUACUUGAUUUUUUGUGGGAUUUGAAUGCUGCCAUUGCUAAAAGGCAUUUGCAUUUGAUUAUUCAACGAGAGAGAGAAGAAAUCAUCAACAGCCUUUAGUUGUGAAAUUGAACUUGUCUUUCUGACAUUUAACUUUAUGACUUCUUAUAGUUUCCAUUGUUAUUGCAUCCCUUUACUAUUUAUAACCUUACAUUUUGGGGAAAGGCCAACUUCUGUUUCAUUUAAUGGCUCAAUAUUUCUGGAAAACCAUCAGCUAGUUCCCAUCUCUAGGAUAUAUACAUACACAGGCAUAGGGUUUUCCUUGUGGUGGAAUCUGUGAGUGUUGAUACUCAACCUCAGACAUGAGAUGUGUGUGUGUGCUUGGGAUGGACAUGUCCAUGCCUGCAUAUGCAGUUUAGUUAGUCUUCUUUAUCUGCGUAAGGUUUUUACAGAGUGCCUUUAUUCAGAUUUUUCUCCAGCUAAUUUCCUCUCAAUGGCUAGUGCUGUUAAUGAACCGAUGAAAUGAGGUGAGUCACUCCUGAGCAACCCUGACUUCCUUUAACACUGACCAUGUCAGUUAUGGAUUUAGGAAACAUCUUGCCAGAUUUCUAGUUACAUGCCAUCAUUGCCAUUGACCCAGUUUACUUUUAUGGUUCAAAUGAAGCUACUGUGCUGUUUCAUGAAUAGACUAACCACAGCCACCAACCAGAAGGGAUAUCAGGACAGCUUCAAACCAAAGAUCAUGUUUAAAACAAUGAAAAAUUAUUCUGUCUAAAAAUGUCUGUAUCAUGAAAAGCCUGAUUUAGCAAUGAUGUAGUAAUUUUUAACUUCCAGGAAAUAAUCUGAACUAAAAGACAUUUUAAAAUUUCAAGAUAAUGUUUAUGGUCUUAUAUUGGGAACACAUGACUGUGAUAAAUGUAGUGAAUACUGAAAAAUUUUUUAACACUUUCAUAAUGGUGAUUCAGCAUUUAACAUUUUUGUGGUCUUUACAGUUUCUUUUUUCAGUAUGAAAGUAGCACUUUAUCAAAAGUUUAACCAUGAGAUGGUUAUUUUAUGUUGUUUGAUUUCUUUUGAAUUAUAUGUAUUUAACAGUGUAACUGAACUUUUCUGGCAAACUAGUAAGCAAAUCUUUACUACUUUGAAAUUCCACAAAAUGGAGAAUAUUUAUAUUCUUACAGGUACAUUUUAGACAUUUUUGUUAGUUAUAUGAAAAAUAGAUGUAUUCUUUGAUGUAUUUGGUUGAUAAAUAUUAAUCUGAAAUUUCUUUCAUGUUCUUUGCUAUUUUGAGUUCCAUUAUAGAUUCAUGAAUAAAGUCAUUAGCAGAGAGAUUUUUGUGUUCGUCUUUUUUAAAGAGAAUCAUGGGGAAAGUUAAAAAUAUAACUUGGAAACAGAUAUUUUUAAGGAAGGUUUGAAUGAGAGUUAAUGUUCCUUCAUUUCCUCUGAUUUGUAUUCAUUAAAAUUUAGUCCUUAAUAUUGUAUUAUUUAUGGAAGCUCUACUUUGGGAAAGAAAUGGAAUACUUGAGGGAGGGAGAGGAGGGGGUAGAUUUAGUUCUUGUCAGGGAGGGUGUGGAUGCCUGGAGGUAGAUUUCUGGAAGAAAUGUGAUUUCCUACUGGUGACUUUAUGGAAGCAGUUCCUGUUGUAUAAUGAUAGAAAAUAGUUACCUAGAAAGAGUUAAAACCGCUCUUAGAAAACCCUUUUGUAUUUGGUAGUCUUUAUUAUUCCUUGGUUGAUUUGGUCCAACAUAAUGACGCUAUUCAUUUCUACUUUACUUUAACCAUUCAUUAGAAUGAAGUUGAAAGCCUAGGUUUAGGUUCUGAUAUUAAAAGUUCCUUUUGAGCCUCUUAAACAAGUAUUUAAUAUUUAGGUUUUUAACAUUAACCUGUAUCGACGUGUAAUAUAUUGGUGUAUACUAGAAUAUUUUGGUUUUUAACAUGGCAUU